Molecule: non-coding RNA, 76 nt
Organism: Podarcis lilfordi (Lilford's wall lizard)
Lineage: Eukaryota; Metazoa; Chordata; Lepidosauria; Squamata; Lacertidae
Source: the annotation of a GenBank genome assembly
GGAAGGUCCAUAGCUCAGUGGCAAGAGCAUCUGCUUUGCAUGCAGAAGGUCCUGGGUUCAAUCCCCAGCGUCUCUG